This is a non-coding RNA of Oryza meridionalis, 199 nucleotides long. The record is from Rfam. Lineage: Eukaryota; Viridiplantae; Streptophyta; Magnoliopsida; Poales; Poaceae.
UUAAAAUAUAGGUUUGCACUGUUGAUAUACAACGUUUGACCGUUCGUUUCAUUUGAAUUUUUUUUUAUGAUUAGUAUUUUUGUUGUUAUUAGAUGAUAAAACAUAAAUAUUACCUUAUGUCUGACUAAUUUUUUUCAUAUAUUUUUCAAAUAAGAUGGACGAUCAAACAUUAGACUGAAUAUCCACGGCUGCACUUAUU